GCCGGUGUGGUGGAACUGGCAGACGCGCCGGACUCAAAAUCCGGUGGGGGCGACCCCGUGAGAGUUCAAGUCUCUCCACCGGCACCA
Molecule: transfer RNA, 87 nt
Filed under: Nitrospirae bacterium CG_4_10_14_3_um_filter_44_29
Lineage: Bacteria; Pseudomonadati; Nitrospirota
Also listed under: 4 other names
Description: tRNA-Leu
Rfam family: tRNA
About the family: Transfer RNA (tRNA) molecules are approximately 80 nucleotides in length.
Source: RNAcentral